RNAcentral lists this ribosomal RNA (253 nucleotides) under uncultured bacterium. RNAcentral describes it as "partial 16S ribosomal RNA". It matches the Rfam family "Bacterial small subunit ribosomal RNA", at positions 524 to 776 of the family's 1533-position model. The record is from RNAcentral.
UACGUAGGUGGCAAGCGUUGUCCGGAUUUACUGGGUGUAAGGGGCGUGUAGGCGGAGCUGCAAGUCAGAUGUGAAAUCCCGGGGCUCAACCCCGGAACUGCAUUUGAAACUGUAGCCCUUGAGUAUCGGAGAGGCAGGCGGAAUUCCUAGUGUAGCGGUGAAAUGCGUAGAUAUUAGGAGGAACACCAGUGGCGAAGGCGGCCUGCUGGACGACAACUGACGCUGAGGCGCGAAAGCGUGGGGAGCAAACAGG